RNAcentral lists this unclassified non-coding RNA (1036 nucleotides) under Nilaparvata lugens (brown planthopper). Its description in RNAcentral is "uncharacterized LOC111048994, transcript variant X3". Lineage: Eukaryota; Metazoa; Arthropoda; Insecta; Hemiptera; Delphacidae. The record is from RNAcentral.
GAGCAAAGAAGGAGGAGAGGAAGAAAAUCACAAUGAAGAAAAUGAAGAAAAGUCAUGUACAUUCACGUAAUACAGUCACGGACGUUUUUCUUAUCAGCUGGUCUGUGUACUGUGGGAGGUAGACUAGCAAUAGGCAGCACUCGGCUUGUCACUUAAAUUAAAAAACAUUUCCUCAAACCAAUCACAACUGUUUUGCUAGUCAUUCGGUCAUGUCCCACUUGUUCUAACUGUUAGACCAGACCUGUUACAUGCAUUAUUAGAUCCAACGCAAAACGGUUUAUUUAGUGUUAGAGUGUGUUUAGAAUAGUAGACACCGUACCGAGAAAAUUUAAAAAAGUGCUGAAAUUUUUAGGGUCGAGAAUUUUUUGUAAAAAAGUGCUGAACAUUUUUACGUUCUGACAUUUUUUGUUACAGUGUUUCUAUUAUCUUUGUUUAGCUGCUUUUUUGGUAUCUUCUCUUCUUCUUUUCCUCAGUAGAUUUGGUUAGUUGUAUUUUUAUACUGUACUGAUAGAAUUAGUGUUAAAAGUUUGAGGGUCAAAAUUUGGUCAUGUCCCACUUGUUCUAACCCAACUUCUAACUGUUAGACCAGAGCUAUUACAUUAUUAGAUCCAACGCAAAUUGGUUUAUUCAGUGUUAGAGUGUGUUUAGAAUAGUAGACACCGUACCGAGAAACUUUAAAAAAGUGCUAACAUUUUUAGGAUUCGAAAACUUUUUGUAAAAAAGUGCUGAACAUUUUUACGUUCUGACAUUUUUUGUUACAGUGUUUCUAUUAUCUUUGUUUAGCUGCUUUUUUGGUAUCUUCUCUUCUUCUUUUCCUCAGUAGAUUUGGAUAGAGCAGUCUCAGCCAUUCGUAAGCCAGGAGGAGAUACGAGACGAAGAAGAGGGUGACGAAGGAGAGGAGAAUUCGAUUGAAAGGAAAAUCGAUCUAUCAGCUGUGGCGAUCACAUCUGUGAAGGAGAGGAGAAAACCUCCGUUGAAGGAGGAGGAGGCAAAAUGCGAGAUAAAGAAGGCAGAGAGAAAAGGACUGAUAGCUCAG